UGGGGAAUAUUGGACAAUGGGCGCAAGCCUGAUCCAGCCAUGCCGCGUGAGUGAUGAAGGUCUUAGGAUUGUAAAGCUCUUUCAGUGGGGACGAUAAUGACGGUACCCACAGAAGAAGCCCCGGCUAACUUCGUGCCAGCAGCCGCGGUAAUACGAAGGGGGCUAGCGUUGUUCGGAAUUACUGGGCGUAAAGCGCACGUAGGCGGAUAUUUAAGUCGGGGGUGAAAUCCCGGGGCUCAACCCCGGAACUGCCUUCGAUACUGGGUAUCUUGAGUUCGGAAGAGGUGAGUGGAAUUGCGAGUGUAGAGGUGAAAUUCGUAGAUAUUCGGAAGAACACCAGUGGCGAAGGCGACUCACUGGACAUGUAUUGACGCUGAGGUGCGAAAGCGUGGGGAGCAAA
Molecule: ribosomal RNA, 400 nt
Filed under: uncultured bacterium
Lineage: Bacteria
Description: bacterial SSU rRNA
Rfam family: Bacterial small subunit ribosomal RNA
Source: RNAcentral